GAUGAACGCUGGCGGCGUGCCUAACACAUGCAAGUCGAACGGGACCCCUUGAACGGAGGCUUCGGCCGAAGGGAGAGGACGUCUAGUGGCGGACGGGUGAGUAACGCGUGAGCAACCUGCCUAUCGGAGGGGGACAACAGCUGGAAACGGCUGCUAAUACCGCAUAAUGUACGUUGGUCGCAUGGCUAAUGUACCAAAGAUUUAUCGCCGAUAGAUGGGCUCGCGUCUGAUUAGUUUGUUGGUGGGGUAAUGGCCUACCAAGACUGCGAUCAGUAGCCGGACUGAGAGGUUGAACGGCCACAUUGGGACUGAGAUACGGCCCAGACUCCUACGGGAGGCAGCAGUGGGGAAUAUUGGGCAAUGGGGGCAACCCUGACCCAGCAACGCCGCGUGAAGGAAGAAGGCCUUCGGGUUGUAAACUUCUUUGACAGGGGAAGAAACAAAUGACGGUACCCUGAAAACAAGCCACGGCUAACUACGUGCCAGCAGCCGCGGUAAUACGUAGGUGGCAAGCGUUAUCCGGAUUUACUGGGUGUAAAGGGCGUGUAGGCGGGACUGCAAGUCAGGCGUGCAAUGUAUGGGCUUAACCCAUGCACUGCGCUUGAAACUGUGGUUCUUGAGUGAUGGAGAGGCAGGCGGAAUUCCUAGUGUAGCGGUGAAAUGCGUAGAUAUUAGGAGGAACACCAGUGGCGAAGGCGGCCUGCUGGACAUUAACUGACGCUGAGGCGCGAAAGCGUGGGGAGCAAACAGGAUUAGAUACCCUGGUAGUCCACGCUGUAAACGAUGAAUACUAGGUGUGGGGGGACUGACCCCUUCCGUGCCGGAGUUAACACAAUAAGUAUUCCACCUGGGGAGUACGUUCGCAAGAAUAAAACUCAAAGGAAUUGACGGGGGCCCCGCACAAGCAGUGGGAUUAUGUGGUUUAAUUCGAAGCAACGCGAAGAACCCUUACCAGGGCUUGACAUGGAGACG
Molecule: ribosomal RNA, 972 nt
Filed under: uncultured Bacillota bacterium
Lineage: Bacteria; Bacillati; Bacillota
Description: bacterial SSU rRNA
Rfam family: Bacterial small subunit ribosomal RNA
Source: RNAcentral